UACGAAGGGGGCUAGCGUUGUUCGGAAUUACUGGGCGUAAAGCGCACGUAGGCGGAUCGAUCAGUCAGGGGUGAAAUCCCAGGGCUCAACCCUGGAACUGCCUUUGAUACUGUCGAUCUGGAGUAUGGAAGAGGUGAGUGGAAUUCCGAGUGUAGAGGUGAAAUUCGUAGAGAUCCGGAGGAACACCAGAGGCGAAGGCGGCCUACUGGGUCAGUACUGACGCUGAGCCGCGAAAGCCAGGGGAGCGAACGGG
Molecule: ribosomal RNA, 253 nt
Filed under: uncultured bacterium
Lineage: Bacteria
Description: partial 16S ribosomal RNA
Rfam family: Bacterial small subunit ribosomal RNA
Source: RNAcentral